Molecule: ribosomal RNA, 406 nt
Filed under: Karaftohelix middendorffi
Lineage: Eukaryota; Metazoa; Mollusca; Gastropoda; Stylommatophora; Camaenidae
Also listed under: 1 other name
Description: partial large subunit ribosomal RNA
Rfam family: Archaeal large subunit ribosomal RNA
Source: RNAcentral
UGUAUAAUAAAUAGCCGCAGUACCUUGACUGUGCAAAGGUAGCAUAAUCAAUUGGCUUAUAAUUGAAGUCUAGAAUGAAGGAAAGAAUGGGGGCAGACUAUAUAAUAGACGCAUCUAUAAAUUACUUAAUAAGUGAAAAUUCUUAUUUAUAAAUAAUAGACGAGAAGACCCUAGAAAUUUAUGGCAAUUCUAACUCAUGGCUUUUGUUGGGGCGACACAGUAGCACUAUAACCUACUAAGCAAGAUUAGCCAGCUGUAUCAAGUGUAAAGAAAUUACUCUAGGGAUAACAGCAUAAUAUUUAAAAGUUUGUGACCUCGAUGUUGGACUAGGAAAUUAUAGCCCAGAAGGUUAUUAUUAAGGCUCUGUUCGAGCCAAUUUCUCCUACGUGAUCUGAGUUCAGACCGG